GUGGAGAUGGCCCAGCGGUCUAAGGCGCUAAGUUAGGGUGUUCCUUAGUAACAUCAUCAUCUCUCGAGAUCUUGAUCCCGAAGUCCGAAAGGGCGUGGGUUCGAAUCCCACUCUCGUCA
Immersiella caudata is the source of this 119-nucleotide non-coding RNA. Lineage: Eukaryota; Fungi; Ascomycota; Sordariomycetes; Sordariales; Lasiosphaeriaceae. The record is from the annotation of a GenBank genome assembly.